ACCCCUUAAAAUAUAAAGCUAAUGACUUCAAUUCCUUAAAAGAAAAUUAGAAAAUCAAAUCGAAGGUUCGUAGUUCCUAGCGGGAGGAUGGAAGAGAACGGGGACGAGGGCGAAGCGCCGGCGGUAGAAGAAGGAAUGACUACUUUUUCUGACCACCAUUUCGGAAGUUAUGAAGACACCGGGGAUGGCUUCUCCAUCACCAUCAUCGAGAACAUGAAGGAAGAGUAUGGUUUGUUCGUAUGGCCUUGCAGUAUUAUUCUAGCUGAGUACGUUUGGCAACAAAGAUCGCGCUAUACUGGCACUACCGUGGUUGAGCUUGGAGCAGGAACCUCGUUGCCUGGGCUGGUUGCUGCAAAAGUAGGUGCAGAGGUGACGCUGACUGACGAUUCAAACAGAUCAGAGGUGCUCAUUCAUAUGAGAAGACAGUGUGACUUAAAUAAUAUCAAGUGCAAGAUACACGGACUUACAUGGGGUGUGUGGGAUACACAUACUUUCUCUCUGUGCCCAAACAUUAUCCUUGGAGCUGAUGUCCUAUAUGAAAGUUGCGCCUUUGAUGAUCUCUUUGCAACUGUGGCAUUUCUACUCCAGAGUAAUCCAUCUUCCGUUUUUAUUACUACAUAUCACAACAGAAGCGGGCAUCACCUAAUUGGAUUCUUGAUGGUGAAAUGGGGCCUGAAGUGUGUUAAGCUUCUUGAUGGGUUCACAUUCAUGCCGUCAUCCAAGACGUCUAGUUUGAGUGGUAAUAUUCAAUUGGCGGAGAUUGUUUUGGACACAGCUAAUGGAAACAAGAAAAAUUGAUUCAACUGAAUUCAAGUGUGAUGGUGCCAACUUUAUUUUAUGCUGACACAUAUUUUACUUUUGCAUUGGGAAACUUUUAUCACCACUGUGUAUCUCGCAGCAAAGGCUAAAGGUUUUGUGCGCGAGACUAUGCUGGAAGGCUAAAGUAUGUGUGUGCGAGACUAUGCUGGGACAAAGCGCUUCUCUCCACAUUUUCAAUGACAUAGGAUCCGUGCGAAGAAACAGUGGUCUUUUUGUGCCAACUUUUUUCUGCUUGGAGUUCAGCAAAAUAGAAGUAUCACAACCCGUCAAGAAGGUAAAAGGGGCACAAAAUCAUAAAAAGAAGAAUUUGCUUAGUGCAACCAGGGGAUGAAAUGUGAGAAAGUUUAACCAUUAUGGGAUUGUUUGAAUGAGGUUCUUAGUUGUGUACGCAGAUGACAUUAUCAUGGAAAUGCAUCAUUAUCGGUGUGCUGCAGGCACUGUUUUGUUUUCUUUGUGGCCUCCUCAGCAACUUGUUUGAUAGUGUAUUCAGCCGGAGGAGAUAUGAACACAAGUGAUGAGCACAAAUAAUUGUGUAUUUGAUUGAACUAUCUCCAGUACCAUUUCUGUUGCUUGCCCAACUAGAAAACAUACUCUAUAUUGACCAUAUUGGAAGAUUGAUGAGUGUAUUAUUGAACUUUUACAAUGUAGUACACUUUUACAGAAGAAAGCAGUGGAAUUCAGAGUAUGAGGAUCAUAACACCUAAAAAGUAAUUUGUGUGAAUCGGAUAUCUAUUUUUGUUAAGGUUUUCCAACGGGAAAAUAGUAGUCUGCUUUGGUCUCUACAGUGCAAGCCACGUAAGGGUAUAUUUGAACUUUCAAGUAUUUAGAGGUAUUUUUAGUUUGUUUUUUCAGUUGUUCAUGUACAUGUUUCAAGAUAUUGCUAGUGUGUGUAAAGAAAUCAAGGUUCAAGUCAUCUGCCCCUUAA
Molecule: RNA transcript, 1744 nt
Organism: Capsicum annuum
Lineage: Eukaryota; Viridiplantae; Streptophyta; Magnoliopsida; Solanales; Solanaceae
Gene name: probable methyltransferase-like protein 23
Exons: 8
Source: RefSeq, a predicted model, not a curated record